Molecule: ribosomal RNA, 446 nt
Filed under: Uroctea sp. CG285
Lineage: Eukaryota; Metazoa; Arthropoda; Arachnida; Araneae; Oecobiidae
Description: partial 16S ribosomal RNA
Rfam family: Archaeal large subunit ribosomal RNA
Source: RNAcentral
UUCUAAUAGUUUUAAUUAUUAGUAAAAUCUGCUCAAUGACUUUAAAUAGCCGCAAUUAUUUUGUGCUAAGGUAGCAUAAUCACUCGUCUUUUAAUUAAAGACUAGAAUGAAAGAUUUAACAUUCCUAUAUCUCUUUCAAAACUAACAUUUACAACUUAUUUUAAAUAUUAAAAAAUAUUUAUAAAAAAGAAAGACGACAAGACCCUAUCGAACUAAACUGAAGUUUAGCUGGGGCAGCUAAUUAAUUAAAAUUUUAAUUAAAAUAAAAAAACAAUCAGACCCAAUAACAAUUGAUUACAUGAUCAAGUUACCGUAGGGAUAACAGCGUAAUCUUCUUUUAAAGCUCUUAUUAAAAAGAAACGAUUGCGACCUCGAUGUUGAAUAAUAUAUCUAUUUCACGCAACAGUGAAUUAAUAGUUUGUCUGUUCGACAAUUAAAAUAUUACA